AGACGAAGAAAAAUCUCAGCUUCCAAUCAUGCACGAUGGAAGGCAAAUCCGAAAAUAUCAGACGGAAGCCAUCCUUCUUCUUUUGUGAAGUCACGUACCACCAUCUGUGCGAGUAUAGAUGCUGCUUUAGACUGAAGAGAAAAUGAAAAAAUGUAACAUUUGGUGCAAUCUUAGCCAACACGCAUAACACAGUGAAGCCACAGAUAUGCCGCCACAUAUUCGGCACCACUGUACAUGGCAAUAUCUUAAAAUAAUGGAGGAGCGCCACAAAAAAGGGGUGAAGAGGAAGCCUAAGCC
RNAcentral lists this long non-coding RNA (297 nucleotides) under Elaeis guineensis (African oil palm). Its description in RNAcentral is "long non-coding RNA (EGUI_LNC038059)". Lineage: Eukaryota; Viridiplantae; Streptophyta; Magnoliopsida; Arecales; Arecaceae. The record is from RNAcentral.